This 488-nucleotide small RNA is filed under the name Histoplasma capsulatum var. duboisii H88. RNAcentral describes it as "Histoplasma capsulatum H88 hypothetical RNA". The record is from RNAcentral. Lineage: Eukaryota; Fungi; Ascomycota; Eurotiomycetes; Onygenales; Ajellomycetaceae.
CAUUCGCGUUGAGCAACAACCAUAUCCAGGCUUCAUAUUCUCUAACAUUGUCUCCUAACUCUACCAGCCUCGCCCUAUUCAGAAAUCGCACAUCAUCGAGUGCUAGAUUCUGUUGGACCGGCUAUCUGUCCUCGAACUUCAAAAUCCAGCCGGUUGAUCAUCCUUUCCUUAGCUGCACAUAGCCAUUUUAUAUGCACUCCUCCUGGUGUUUCGAUUUUGACUUCUUGCUUGGGCCAACGAAGCAGCCGGAGGUAGGGCAGAAACGGACGUGAGAGAGGACUGGUGGGAUCCCCUUUUGAGAUACACUUCUACAAUCACUUAUUUUCAACAGAAUUGAAAGCUACUAGCUCAUAGUGCGUCAAUUAAAAUUCCUUAAAGAAUACAUUUUGCCAUGGGGAAAAGGUGCAGAAUAUCACACUUUAUAAGAAUGCCAUCAAUUCUUGAACAUUUCUAUAAUAGUUCCUGGGGAAUUUUUGAUUCCUGAAAUG